RNAcentral lists this ribosomal RNA (198 nucleotides) under uncultured Bacillus sp. RNAcentral's name for it is "partial 16S ribosomal RNA". It matches the Rfam family "Bacterial small subunit ribosomal RNA", at positions 335 to 524 of the family's 1533-position model. The record is from RNAcentral. Lineage: Bacteria; Bacillati; Bacillota; Bacilli; Caryophanales; Bacillaceae.
ACUCCUACGGGAGGCAGCAGUGGGGAAUAUUGGACGAUGGGCGCAAGCCUGAUCCAGCCAUGCCGCGUGAGUGAUGAAGGCUUUCGGGUCGUAAAACUCUGUUGUUAGGGAAGAACAAGUGCUAGUUGAAUAAGCUGGCACCUUGACGGUACCUAACCAGAAAGCCACGGCUAACUACGUGCCAGCAGCCGCGGUAAU